Long non-coding RNA from Colius striatus (speckled mousebird), 1495 nucleotides. RefSeq lists it as uncharacterized. Lineage: Eukaryota; Metazoa; Chordata; Aves; Coliiformes; Coliidae. The transcript has 5 exons. The record is from RefSeq and is a predicted model, not a curated record.
GCCCAAGGGUCGCGGGUAGCCGGGAGGCGGGCGGAACCGGUGCCUUGUAUGUAGGAGCGCCUGGGAGCCGUCCUAGUAUCCGCACCAGGAUGGCCGAGUGGUUAAGGCGUUGGACUUAAGAUCCAAUGGACGUAUGUCCGCGUGGGUUCGAACCCCACUCCUGGAUGGCAAAGGCUGGAAGAGAGAAAGAAAUGCUGUCUAGAAAGUGUGUGGUCCACCCCUCAGCUCAGAGGAGGGUCAGCUUGAGCACUCAGGUUUUGAGCAUCUCCAAGGAUGAAGACUUCUUAACCUCUCUGGGCAACCCAUGCCAGCAUUUGACAACCCUCACAGUAAAUAAAGCUUUUUCUAGUAUCUUGAAAAUUUUUUGUUCCUAAACAUCCCAAGAUAAAUGAAGGAACUACAAAUGCCACAACACUUAAGAGGACGCUCACUGGAUAUGUGGCGUUGCUGCCAUGCAAAACCUCAGAGAUGGUAUCUCUGAAGGGAGACCUCAGAAUUGACCAAGGAGUUGCUGACUGCUGUUUAUCGACUAACCAAUACCUCAGGUUAAACAGAAAAAGGACAGAGAAGCAUGAUGUAGAGAAGCUCAGGUGGACCUACGAUGCAGUGGGCAAUGGACAUUUUGCCCAGAAGACACCUCGCACCCUGGGCUUCUGUAUUUGUCCCAGUUGCCUGCUGCCCUCUGCCCCAGCUCGUCCCUCUCAUUUUCUGCACCUGGUGGCCCCUGAUGUAUGGUUAACUCUGUGGAUCAAAACAGUCUUGAGUGUCUUAAGGUGUUUUACAGUGGCUACUGCAACAGGGCUCAUAAUUCUUAGAGGAGCUUGGAAGGAGCUUACACACAAAGGUAGCUGAGUCUGGAAUAAAAAUAAGUGAUCUAAUGUUAAAAUCAGAUCCCCAGCCUAAGGAGUUGAGGGUAGGAAUGCUGUCCCACCUUUAAAAAUUGUUCUAGGUCUGAUUUUUAAUAUUUAGUAUCAGAUAACUAGUUGAACAACAAAGAUAACUUGAAAGCUCUUAGAUUACAGCAAAAGAAAGGAAAAGGAACAAGCUAUGCCUGCGUGGUGUACUGAAGUCUGUCCGAGGUACUUCCAAAGGCAUUGUAGAUAAAGCUGACCCAGGCUUUUCAAAACACUUGUUAAUUUUUCUCACAAGAGGAACAUACAGAGAGAAAACAUUUAUUUAAUAUGUCUUUUUAUAUCUUUUUCUCCUUGGAUUAGAGAUAAUGAAACUAGUAAGGGACUUGUACCAACUGGUUAGUGCAGUAUGUCAGCAGCAAAGCACCAAGGAGCUGUUACUGGAAGUCAGAUGCAAGUUCUGCAGGAAAAAAAAAAAGGCUGCUGACUAACAGCAUGCCUAAUCUGUUAACUGAGAGCGACAAUGUGAUGGGCUCUUUGGAAAGGGACAAUAAAGAUACUCUGCUUACAAAGCAAUCCAUUUGGUAUCUCAUGUCUUCCUGGAUAUGGAAUGUUUUUCUGAAAUCAUGACAAAACAUUGAUGA